GACGAACGCUGGCGGCGUGCUUAACACAUGCAAGUCGAACGGAAAGGCCCCUUUGGGGGUGCUCGAGUGGCGAACGGGUGAGUAACACGUGAGUAACCUGCCCUUGACUUCGGGAUAACUUCAGGAAACUGGGGCUAAUACCGGCUAGGAAUCCUUGCUGCAUGGUGGGGGUUGGAAAGCUUCGGCGGUUUUGGAUGGACUCGCGGCGUAUCAGCUUGUUGGUGGGGUAGUGGCUUACCAAGGCGUUGACGGGUAGCGGGCCUGAGAGGGCGACCGGCCACAUUGAGACUGAGAGACGGCCCAGACGCCGACGGGAGGCAGCAGGGGGGAAUAUUGCUCAAGGGGCGGAGGCCGGAUGCAGCAACGCCGCGGGCGGGAUGACGGCCUUCGGGUGGAAAACCGGGUGCAGCAGGGGCGAGGCUUGUGGUGACGGUACCUGCAGAAGAAGCACCGGCUAACUACGUG
Molecule: ribosomal RNA, 465 nt
Filed under: uncultured bacterium
Lineage: Bacteria
Description: partial 16S ribosomal RNA
Rfam family: Bacterial small subunit ribosomal RNA
Source: RNAcentral